AAGGGACUCGUUGUUGUUUUGCUGAGAAAGACAAACCCUAAAAGCUUCUGCACUCCCUCCUUCCUUUCCUCCCUCGUUCUGAAGCUGGUGGUUCUUUUACGGGCUGCUUCUCCCAUGAGCCUUUGCAACUAGACGCUUCCUCCCUCCCCUCCCCCCCUAACUUCCUGCUCCACUCCCCAGUCUGCCAGUCAAUCAGGGGCACAGCUGCCCUCCUCCUCCUUGCUCCCCCUCUCCUCCUCCUCGCUCCCCCUCUCCCCUGUCCCUCGAUGGAGGACUCUGACGUGGAUUGCACAGCCAGCCUGCUGGCCUCGGUGCGUGAGCAGGAGAUGCAGUUUGAGAGGCUGACCCGCGCGCUCGAGGAAGAGAGACGCGGCACUCAGAGAGGGACGCUCACACGCGCGCAACAGGUAACACCCCCCCCCCCCGCUUCCUGUGCGCGUG
Molecule: long non-coding RNA, 441 nt
Organism: Polyodon spathula (Mississippi paddlefish)
Lineage: Eukaryota; Metazoa; Chordata; Actinopteri; Acipenseriformes; Polyodontidae
Exons: 3
Source: RefSeq, a predicted model, not a curated record